AGCCAUGCAUGUUUCCGCAAUCAGGGACGAAUAGCUCAGUAAAACUGCGAUGAUUUAGUCUGGCUGUGUAGAUAACUACGUGAAAAUGUAGCUAAGGGAAGGCAGAAUAAGACGCAGGACUAUCAGUUAGUUGGUAGUGUAAUGGACUACCAAGACAGUGACGGUUGACGGGAAAUUAGGGUUUUGUACCGGAGAGGGAGCCUGAGAGAUUGCUCCCACGUCCAAGGACGGCAGCAGGCGCGAAAAUUGCCCACUCUUUGCAGGAGGCAGUUAUGAGACGUGAAGAUGAGUAUCUUGUAAAGAGGGAUAGGAGAAUUGGAGGGCAAGUUUGGUGCCAGCAGCCGCGGUAAUACCGACUCCAAGAGUGUGUAUGAGAGAUGCUGCAGUUAAAAAGUCCGUAGUCAUAGAAGGGCAAAGAGAGAUGCGAGGUCUCACAGUGCGAUGAUGGAGGAGCCGAUGGGGAACAUAGUAUACCAGGGCGAGAGAUGAAAUGCCAAGACCCCUGGUGGACUGAGCGAGGCGAAGGCGAUGUUCUUGUAGGCAUUCGGUGAUCAAGGACGAAGGCUGGAGUAUCGAAAGUGAUUAGAUACCGCAGUAGUUCCAGCAGUAAAAGAUGCCGACAUGCUCAUUGGACACAGUGGGCAGGGAGAAAUCUUAGAGUUCGGGCUCUGGGGAUAGUAUGCUCGCAAGGGUGAAAAUUAAAGAAAUUGACGGAGCUACACCACAAGGAGUGGAUUG
This 738-nucleotide ribosomal RNA is filed under the name Vittaforma corneae. RNAcentral's name for it is "SSU rRNA". It matches the Rfam family "Microsporidia small subunit ribosomal RNA", at positions 46 to 817 of the family's 1311-position model. Lineage: Eukaryota; Fungi; Microsporidia; Nosematidae. The record is from RNAcentral.